Molecule: ribosomal RNA, 253 nt
Filed under: uncultured bacterium
Lineage: Bacteria
Description: partial 16S ribosomal RNA
Rfam family: Bacterial small subunit ribosomal RNA
Source: RNAcentral
UACAGAGGUCUCAAGCGUUGUUCAGAUUCAUUGGGCGUAAGGGGUGCGUAGGUGGCGCCGUAAGUCGGGUGUGAAAUUUCGGAGCUUAACUCCGAAACUGCAUUCGAUACUGCGGUGCUUGAGGACUGGAGAGGAGACUGGAAUUCAUGGUGUAGCAGUGAAAUGCGUAGAGAUCAUGAGGAAGACCAGUGGCGAAGGCGGGUCUCUGGACAGUUCCUGACACCGAGGCACGAAGGCCAGGGGAGCAAACGGG